UACGUAGGGUCCGAGCGUUGUCCGGAGUUACUGGGCGUAAAGGGCGCGUAGGCGGCGACUCAAGUUAGAUGUGAAAGUCCUGGGCUUAACCUGGGGACUGCAUUUGAUACUGGGUUGCUUGAAUUCGGGAGAGGAUAGCGGAAUUCCCAGUGUAGAGGUGAAAUUCGUAGAUAUUGGGAAGAACACCGGUGGCGAAGGCGGCUAUCUGGACCGACAUUGACGCUGAGGCGCGAAAGCGUGGGGAGCAAACAGG
Molecule: ribosomal RNA, 253 nt
Filed under: uncultured bacterium
Lineage: Bacteria
Description: partial 16S ribosomal RNA
Rfam family: Bacterial small subunit ribosomal RNA
Source: RNAcentral